UACGAAGGGUGCAAGCGUUACUCGGAAUUACUGGGCGUAAAGCGUGCGUAGGCGGUUUGUUAAGUCCGCUGUGAAAGCCCUGGGCUCAACCUGGGAAUUGCAGUGGAUACUGGCAAGCUAGAGUGCGGUAGAGGAUGGUGGAAUUCCCGGUGUAGCGGUGAAAUGCGUAGAGAUCGGGAGGAACACCCGUGGCGAAGGCGGCCAUCUGGACCAGCACUGACGCUGAGACGCGAAAGCGUGGGGAGCGAACAGG
RNAcentral lists this ribosomal RNA (253 nucleotides) under uncultured bacterium. Its description in RNAcentral is "partial 16S ribosomal RNA". It matches the Rfam family "Bacterial small subunit ribosomal RNA", at positions 524 to 776 of the family's 1533-position model. The record is from RNAcentral.